RNAcentral lists this ribosomal RNA (474 nucleotides) under uncultured bacterium. RNAcentral's name for it is "SSU rRNA". It matches the Rfam family "Bacterial small subunit ribosomal RNA", at positions 26 to 518 of the family's 1533-position model. The record is from RNAcentral.
AGGAUGAGCGCUGGCGGCGUGCCUAACACAUGCAAGUCGAACGUCCUGUCUCGCAAGAGGCAGGGAGUGGCGGACGGGUGAGUACCACGUGGGUUAUCUACCGUGAGGUGAGGAAUACCGGCGAGAAAUCGCCGACAAGACCGCAUAGCCUCGGUGCAAGCCGAGGAAAGCUUUCUCGAGAGAGGGAGCGCCACACGAGGAGCCUGCGCCCGAUUAGCUAGCUGGUGGAGUAACGGUUCACCAGGGCGACGAUCGGUAGCUGGUCUGAGAGGACGAUCAGCCACACUGGGAUUGAGAACGGCCCAGACUCCUACGGGGGGCAGCAGUGAGGAAUUUUCGUCAAUGGGGCAACCCUGAACGAGCAACGCCGCGUGCAGGAAGAAGGUUUUCGGAUCGUAAACUGCUUUUCGUCGGGGAAGAGAACGGACGGUACCCGAGGAAUCGAGCCCCGGCUAACUACGUGCCAGCAGCCGC